This 77-nucleotide transfer RNA is filed under the name mine drainage metagenome. RNAcentral describes it as "tRNA-Arg". It matches the Rfam family "tRNA". Rfam says of the family: Transfer RNA (tRNA) molecules are approximately 80 nucleotides in length. The record is from RNAcentral.
GUGGACGUGUUGUAACUGGCAACAUGCUGGUUUCUGCCAAUCUGGCGAUGCGGGUUCGACUCCCGUCGUUCACACCA